GAAUAAAUAAAUCGAGUAUUCGAUUAUUAUGAUUGCAUCCACGUAAAUCAUAAAUGUUCAGUGUUAAUUUUAUAUUAUUAUUUAUUUUCUCACGAUUCGUCGAUUGUAAGUUGCGCUUUCGACUACCUACUACGAAAUUCUGUUUAGUAUUUUUCUAGUAUAGUUUUUAAACUACACGUUUUGUUCCUAUUUAUAUGAGAAUGGAGGUACCGGUGUUGGGAACCCUUGGCUGUAGUAUUACACUGUAGAAUACACUAUACAUUAGGAUAUUUUAGCCAUGUAAGCAUAGGUUUAUGGCAGAUAUUGCAAAGGCGUAUCAAGGUAUUAGAUAUGUACCAAUGACUUGGGGCAUUGAUGAUUGUCAUUUUUCAUUUCACAGAAUGUUAGAGGUAUCUAGAUAUCUAAGAUCCAGCUGCAUUAUGAGUGUGGGUGAUAAAAAAUGAGAAAACUAAAAAUCAAUCGUUAGCUGGAGUACGAGUACCUAGUUAUCUUAAUAAAUAAUCGGAUUCAUUCAGUUUUAUAUAACAAAUGUCAGAAAUGAAAAUAAAAUGCUUACCUUGCAUCUAAGCAACUACCUACGGAUUCAUUGAUUUUAUAUUAUUGUUAUAAAUUAUAAGAAUGAAAAAGAAAAAAAAAACUUGAGAUUGUGUUACCUUCUUCAGUGUAUGAAUCUGAAGUUGGAAAAAGGGAUUGUAACAGAGAUUGAAACAGCUCAUCAGUCUGGUUUCCCCGUUUGGUUUUGGACCAUAACAUUGCUGCAAUGGAUGAUGAUUCGGCCUUGUACCAGUCUGCACUCUACAGCCCAUCAAACUAAGAAGAAAAGUCAAACUUGCUGAAAUGUAUGCAUGGUGUAUUAGACUCAGUGUUGGUUCAAUUAUUUUGGAAAAGUAAAGUUACAUACAGACAUUAAAAUCUAUGAACAAUUAAGAUAUACAACACCUGAUACCUACUAAUGGCAGCUUGCAUAAACAACCACUUAACAUUCAAUGAAUCAAUAGUGGGCUAAUGGGAAUAAGAAAGAAAAGGAAGGCAAACUCAUAUUAUAAAGUACUUUAUUUAUCAAUUUGUACAUUCAGAUAAUAGUGUUCAAACAGUUUGAUAUCCACAGAUACUCUCUUUAUUACUGAUGGUUUGAAUUUACCAGUAAAAAUACUAUUAUAUUAACAUUAUUAAUUGCAAUAGAAGAGAUACUUAAAAAAGUAAUAGUUUGAUUGCUUACAACUAAGUCAACCAUUAUAUUUUAAAUAAAAAAGAAAGUUAGAAAUUAAAAUUGAAAGUUCAUUAAUUUAGUACAAUUUAAAUAACAGUUAUAAAUGUUUUGGAUCUUAAAUAUAAAUUUAUUUUUCAUCAUUAUGUUAUUAGUAUGAAAAAUAUGCUAUAAAUAAAAUGCUAUAUAUACAAAUUAAAUGGUUAAACAUUAUGAAUUUCUUACAAUUUUAUGAUAAAUUAUUAAAUUAGUUCAUAUUUUUAAUCAAUUCAUGAGACACGCCUUUAUUUUAGCUUUAUUGGUUACAUCGAUUGAAAAAAUAUAAUAUUUUAAUAUAAUAAUUUAACUAGAAAUUUAAAGACUAAAUAGCUUUUUUCAUUGAAUUGCUGCAGAGGUUAAAAAUUAAAUGUUAUAGACAUUAUGUAGAUAAAAAGUCUGUUAUUGGAGAUAUAUUUUAUUUAUUAAUAAUAACACAAGAAAUAUUUAGAAUAAUGUAUGAGUUGAAUUGCUUACAACAAAGACAAUCAUCGUAUUUUAAAUAUCUAAAAAAGAUAAAAACUAAAAUUGUUAUUAAACUAAUUUAACAUCAUAUUUAUACGUUAUGAAAUUAUUAAAUAUAAAUUAAUUUUUUUUUUCAAAUUUAUGUUAUAUUGUGAAAAUAUAUUAUUAAUACAUUUUAUAAUGUAAUGUGCAUGUGCCCAUGUGGAGUCAACAUAGCAUACAUUUAUUAAAUUUCUCUAGAGGUUAAAAGAGGUUCAUGAGAAUUAUGUAGAUGGUAAUUCUAUAUGUAGGUAUAUGUUUGUAAAUAAUAAAAAGUAGUAAA
Molecule: long non-coding RNA, 2030 nt
Organism: Metopolophium dirhodum (rose-grain aphid)
Lineage: Eukaryota; Metazoa; Arthropoda; Insecta; Hemiptera; Aphididae
Exons: 7
Source: RefSeq, a predicted model, not a curated record